UACGAAGGGGGCUAGCGUUGCUCGGAAUCACUGGGCGUAAAGCGCACGUAGGCGGAUUGUUAAGUCAGGGGUGAAAUCCUGGAGCUCAACUCCAGAACUGCCUUUGAUACUGGCGAUCUCGAGUCCGGGAGAGGUGAGUGGAACUCCUAGUGUAGAGGUGGAAUUCGUAGAUAUUAGGAAGAACACCAGUGGCGAAGGCGGCUCUCUGGGCCUUACCUGACGCUGAGGAGCGAAAGCGUGGGUAGCGAACAGG
RNAcentral lists this ribosomal RNA (253 nucleotides) under uncultured bacterium. RNAcentral's name for it is "partial 16S ribosomal RNA". It matches the Rfam family "Bacterial small subunit ribosomal RNA", at positions 524 to 776 of the family's 1533-position model. The record is from RNAcentral.